UACGGAAGGCAGCAGUGGGGAAUAUUGCACAAUGGGCGCAAGCCUGAUGCAGCCAUGCCGCGUGUAUGAAAAAGGCCUUCGGGUUGUAAAGUACUUUCAGUCGUGAGGAAGGUGUUAAGGUUAAUAACCUUAGCAAUUGACGUUAGCGACAGAAGAAGCACCGGCUAACUCCGUGCCAGCAGCCGCGGUAAUACGGAGGGUGCGAGCGUUAAUCGGAAUUACUGGGCGUAAAGGGCACGCAGGCGGUUAAUUAAGUUGGAUGUGAAAUCCCCGGGCUUAACCUGGGAAUGGCAUUCAAGACUGGUUAGCUAGAGUCUUGUAGAGGGGGUUAGAAUUCCAUGUGUAGCGGUGAAAUGCGUAGAGAUGUGGAGGAAUACCGGUGGCGAAGGCGGCCCCUGGACAAAGACUGACGCUCAUGUGCGAAAGCGUGGGGAGCAAACAGGGAUUAGAUACCCG
Molecule: ribosomal RNA, 456 nt
Filed under: uncultured bacterium
Lineage: Bacteria
Description: bacterial SSU rRNA
Rfam family: Bacterial small subunit ribosomal RNA
Source: RNAcentral